AAAACCAAAACCGAAAUCGAUAUCCGAAACCGGAUGACACUUACUAAUAAAAAAAAAAGUAAAAAAAGUAAAGUCACUGUUAGUCUUACUGAAUGCAUAAAGCGGAUGAACUCAACUUUGUUACCCUAAAUCUCCUCCUUCCUUUUCUCUCCAUCUCUUCUAAUCUGAGUAAUCUCCAUUCCCUUUCUCGAUUUCUCUCAACCUAGCCGUCUCCGUGACUCUGACUCUUGAAUCUCCAUUUGCUCUCUCUCUCGCUCUCUGUUUUCGUGUCCGCCUCUCCAGAGGCUCCCCUCCAUCUCCGACUGUUUGCCAAAGGUGCCCAUGAGAGGCAAACCUUGACUUAACCUUUGAACUUAGAGAGGGGCAGCGCUACCACGCUCUUCUAUGCUCGUAGGUUGACUCCCCUAUGCAUCCCGACUAAGGUCUCAUAAACGUGCAGUAGUUUUUCUGGUGCAUUAUUAACUGAGCUCGAGGGCAAAUUAUAUUCUCAAAGAAUGAGCUCUUGUCCCUAUUGAAGAAGAAGAGGCUGCUGUCAUGUGACCAACUCAAAGGGCUCUUUUGGAAACAUAAGAAAGAUCUGUCCGUAGUAGCGUUUUGAGAGCCUUCUAACUGUUUCCUAGGUUUCGUGUUCUAAUUUCUGCAGCUUGUGCCUGAAGGUUAUGUCUUCGUGUUGGGAGACAACCGUAACAACGGUUUUGAUUCCCAUAACUGGGGUCCUUUGCCGGUUGUGAACAUUAUUGGCAGGUCAGUCUUCCGGUAUUGGCCUCCCACUAAGGUCUGAAUACCUUACACGAACCUCAAUCUGGGAAGAAAGCGAUUGCAGUUUCCUAACAAGCAGUGGGAAGACUAACACGACUUCUCGUUUAGAUGGUGAUUCCACCAUUCUUUUUCUCUCCACUCGGAUCUGGCUCUCUGAUGAUUGAGCAAUUUGUUCCCAUUGGGUCUACCUUGUUCACAGGUCGACCACAUGGCAGCAAUAAAAAGGUGAGUUUGUUGGCUUUUCAGGUGGCACCAGUUUAGCCUCCGUCCCUUCGUACGAAAUUUAUUUGCUUGAGUUGUAGCUAGGAGUUGCUAGCAGCUCGAGGUUCGAGACAUUUUCAAUUUUAUUUAGCGAGAUAAAAAAAAUUUAUAAAUUUUAACAUGGUACUCGAAAUCUAUAAUAUAAUACAUGUUUCGGGUAGGGUCCAGUUUCAAAAUUUAACAGGGUAUGAUUCGGUUCUAAAAUAUUAAAAUAUGUCCCUUAUAAAGUAUGAUAAGAUCCGAACAUCGUAAAAAAUAAAAAUAAAAAAAAAAUCCGGAGCCGAUCAUCCUUAUAUAUCAACCUUAUAAUGCUUAUACGACUGUGUUUCUUCUGUGGCCGACCGCAAUGAUUAUGGGUUUAGCCCUUUGUUUAUGUCAUGGGUUGCCCCGCCCAUACGCUAGUUCCACCGCCGAAACUACUGAAAGUGACCAAUUUUAGUUAUGGUUUUUAUAUGUAAAUAUUGGUUAUUCCAGAUUCUAGUAUUUGCUUCUUUGCUGAUGCUGCUAUGACGUUUCCAUACGUUAGACAACCAUGCAAUGCCGCAUGCCUUUUUUAAGAACUACCAUAUAAAUUCCCGCAUUCAACUAACCUAGAUUGAUUCCGGCUAUCCGUCGUAUAUUUAUUUUAUAUUAUGUUUAAAUCGCUGGAAAUGAAUGGAAAAGAAAGGGAUGGGAGGGAGAAUUUCUAUAGGAUUUUGCAUUUUCGUACUAUCCUCCCCUCUCUUUCUUUCCCUCCGUUUGAGCAACGCGCUUCGA
Molecule: non-coding RNA, 1776 nt
Organism: Punica granatum (pomegranate)
Lineage: Eukaryota; Viridiplantae; Streptophyta; Magnoliopsida; Myrtales; Lythraceae
Source: RefSeq, a predicted model, not a curated record